UACCAGCACCCCGAGUGGUCGGGACGAUUAUUGGGCCUAAAGCAUCCGUAGCCGGUUCUACAAGUCUUCCGUUAAAUCCACCUGCUUAACAGAUGGGCUGCGGAGGAUACUAUAGAGCUAGGAGGCGGGAGAGGCAAGCGGUACUUAGUGGGUAGGGGUAAAAUCAGUUGAUCCAUUGAAGACCACCAGUGGCGAAGGCGGCUUGCCAGAACGCACUCGACGGUGAGGGAUGAAAGCUGGGGGAGCAAACCGG
RNAcentral lists this ribosomal RNA (253 nucleotides) under uncultured bacterium. RNAcentral's name for it is "partial 16S ribosomal RNA". It matches the Rfam family "Archaeal small subunit ribosomal RNA", at positions 474 to 727 of the family's 1478-position model. The record is from RNAcentral.